This is a long non-coding RNA of Onychostoma macrolepis, 1878 nucleotides long. RefSeq lists it as uncharacterized. The transcript has 8 exons. The record is from RefSeq and is a predicted model, not a curated record. Lineage: Eukaryota; Metazoa; Chordata; Actinopteri; Cypriniformes; Cyprinidae.
CCAAUGUGAAUCUAGAAACCUGUUGUGCUCUUCAGAGGCGUUUCUGACCCCUAGAAACUUACAAAGAACUUUCCACGGAACUAAUGAAAGGUAUCCAUCACAAAGGAACAGAAGUUUCUGAUGUAUGCAAAUCUUUUUGGGCACUGGCUUGACUUACAAUGGAGUACCAUGUUAUGAUAAGGUGUUUGUUCUGUAUUCUGUUAAGACCACCGCAACUCUCAUGCAUACCUUGGAUCAGCAAACAUCCCACCUUGAGGAUGUAAGAAGAUAUUUUUGAAGUGUCUUCUCUUUAUCACCACCCAAUGGUGCAUCUCGAAAGAUACUGCUUACCUGUUCUCUUUAUCACCACCCAAUGUUACGCUGGACUGAGUUGUGGAACCGAGUGAGAAGCGUGUGGAGCGUGGAGACGCCGGUUCAUCAGAGAUGACAGUUGGGUUCUCGGGGCGGUGCUGAAGUGCUGAAGCACUGCUGGCUACGGACACUGAGAGGGCAACACCUGCUCCUCUGCAGCUAACCUCCUUCCAGGUGUUCCCAGGCAGGCUGUACUGGUGCGCAAGCAGAACAGACUCCCAGUAGCAAGGUGAUAAAUCCAGUGGACUGUUCAGCAGCCAGGGAACAUUACAGCAUUGAAGAGAUGGCUUGCCCUGCUCUUUAGGCGGCCGUUUAUGACGGAGUCCCCAACCACAAUUAUGGGAGCCUUGGGCUGCUACCGGAAACAAACCCACUGACACGUUGACAAAAAUCCCUGCCCCGUGUUUAUAUGGCGUUUUGCAAAGAAAUCGGAAAAGGACAGAUUUGAAUCGAUGGCAGACGGGUCCUCUAAACCCACUCCAACUUCUGUCUUUCUCUCAGCCCACUUGGGAUCUGCAGCAUAAUACACCGCCGACUAAAUCCGGUGAUACUCCUGGAGUAUUUGAAGCAUGGGUGGCUGCAUAAUGAGCAGUCUGUGUGUUCUUUCCCUUUCCUGUCCCCUACCCUCUUCUUCCAAUAUGCAGGAAAUGGCGUCUGGCCUCUUGACAGAUAAUGUGACACACACGUGUGCAGACGGAAACUGGGGCUGUGAGCCACAAAGGGCCACAGUGGGUCCUGGCCCCUGAUAACAUCAGGGAAGGAGAAGAGAAGAGAGGUGUCUACGGGAAGUUGCCAGGUUUGGGAAGGCAUGGAGAAUCCCGGUUAUCUCCCAGAGGAUUCAGGAAUUGGAGUGUGGCCCUCCCCGGCAGCAGGCCAGGCGAUGGAGUGCUGGGACCUUUGUUUGUCAUCACCAUUUCCCCUUCAUCCUGUGUCAUGACCUUACAGAGUUCAUUUCAAACUGAGAAUUCAUUGACUACUUCGCAAGCCUUCAGAAUAUGGAAGGAGUUGAUCAUUAGACAAGUAGACGUGACAGCUUCUUAUCAGGGAAUUUGAUUUGUGAAGGGAAACUUGUGAUUUGUGCUUUGGCUGUGGAAUGCAAAGUGAUGGCCACAAAUUGUCAUUACGACUGAGACAUAACAAAUGUUUCCUCUACAACUUCACUUUCAAACAAUGCUUUCUUUGGUGGGGUUGGGGUUGUAGAGAGAUAUUCUGGCCCAAUCUGAAUAUAUUUGAAUUUAUUUGAUUGCAUAACAAAAUUGUUUCUUUUAAAUGUUUGAGUCAAAAUCUUUACAAAAUUGUUCAUAAUGUACACAGUUAAUGGAAUAUAAAAUUUUGCCACUAAUACAAAGGGUUACACUUUAUUUUAAGGUGUCAUUGUUACAGUGUAAUUAUACAUAGGAUGAUGGAUUGGUUUAAGAUUAGUUGCAUGUAAUUAUGCAUAAUUUACUGUUAUUAUAAUAGUAAGUAUAUGUAACGCGUAACAAGUGGACCUUAAAAUAAAGUGUUACCCUCUUUAGAAUAAGAUUU